This is a long non-coding RNA of Xenopus laevis (African clawed frog), 2208 nucleotides long. RefSeq lists it as uncharacterized. The record is from RefSeq and is a predicted model, not a curated record. NCBI's taxonomy places the organism in Eukaryota, Metazoa, Chordata, Amphibia, Anura, Pipidae. The transcript is spliced from 3 exons.
AUCUGUUACUUACAUCAUAUCCUGUGUGCCAAAAAUGCAUUAAAGUUCCAAAAACGCUGACGACUUUUCCUUUGUCUUAGGGUAAGACUACACGGCCGAUUUCGUUGCGUGUCCGACGCUGGGAAUAAGUGCAAUUUGCAAGAAAGAUUUUGCUACGGAAGAAAAUCAUCAUGGUUCCUGCACCUUGUCCUCCCCAUUUAAGCUGCCAUUAAAAUGUUUUGGUGAGUGUAUCCAAGCAUCAUUCUCUAAUAUUGUGGAUAUGGUUUUCUUGAGUAAUUAUUGCAAUGGGAAAUUAAGAUAGUAAAUAGUAGGUGAAUUUGAAAAAACACUCUUCUAUCAAGACGGGUAAAAACCUCCCUGAGGCUAAGAGAACAAUUGGACCAGUCCCCAGGCCUGGAUUUGUGACGAGGCCGCAAAGGCCUGGGCCUAGGGUGGUGAAUUGUUAGGGGCGGCACUGGGGGUGUGCAACUCCCAAGUGCUCCGGCGCUCACACCGUAGUGUGGGCGGGCACUAGGAUCAUGUGACUGGGCGCUAGGACCAUGCACCCUAGGGGCGCCCGUCCGCUAAAUCUGAUGCUGCCAGUCCAUUGAUCAACUUUAUACUAAAGGUAAUUUCAGUACCUUGGUAUUUUCUCCCUUGAUACAAGGCCAUCCAACCCCUUCUUGAAAUCUUACGUAUCUGCCAGUACAACAGCCUUGGGGAGAGUAUUUCACAACUUCACAGCCCUCCCUGUAAUAAACCUUUCCACAUCUUAAGGUGAGACGUCCUGUUUCCUUGCCUUCAUAUCCUUCACGGCUGGAACUAACUACCUCAUACUACUAGUUCUGGAUAGCUGAGAGAGGGGCAAUGUACAACCCCAUUCAUAGUGCACAUUGCAUCACUGUUCCUUCUUGUCAGACCCUUCCUGCACCACAUCACCCCCAGUCCACAUAAACUGCUCCCCCUCUUACUUCUCACCUGACAGUGGGGGCAGGGUAAUUGAGGGGUCCCAGUGAGUGUUCCCUGGAAGAAACUACCGGGUUAAUAAAGGAUCUGAGAACUUAUUGUAUGUUACAUUUAUAAAUUUAUAUAAAGUAAUCAUGUGCCCCUUAAGUGUUCAUCUCCAGCUUAGCCAUACCUUCCAUUCCCUUUAACUUAGCAGUUCUUUAGACUUUCUUUCAUUAUUACCUACAUAGUACAUAUGGUUGAAAAAAAUAUACAGAUAUAUAAACUAUACAUACCAAUAUGUAUACUACUUGUGUAUCAUAGCAUCACAAUAUCCUUUUAUAUUAUGGUUGUUCAAGAAAUCAUCCAAGCCACUAUUAAAGGAAUAAUAGAAUCUGCUAUUACACUUGGCAGCCUCACUGUCCUCACCACGUCCGCUGUUCCCCUAAUCUAAAGGUGUGGCCUCUGGUGCGUUAAUGGUUUUUAAGGGAAAAUAUCCUAUGCUAUCUGUCUAUAAUGCACUCUAAAGUACUUGUAAAGAGUAAUCAUGUAGCCUCGCAGUCUAUCCUCAUAGUUUACUCUCUAAACAACAAAAUGCUUUAAUGGGUCAAAUUUUAGCAGUAGCCAGAAUCAACUUGGCGAAGAAUUGGCUCCAAAAAACUAUAGACACUCAAGGUAUGGUAGAAAAAAUUAGCCAGACACAGAAUCUGUUAUAUUUAACGGCUUUAUUGGCAGACACAGUAGAGAAACAUACAAAAAUAUGGGAUCCAUGGAACAUAUUCCUGCAUUCGUGAGAAAUCUGUACAAGUAAUGUAUUUGGUACCAAAUGUGAUGAAUGAAUACUGGUAAGAACAACUUAAGGUUAUUGAUAUCCUACACUAACCUUCCCGAUCCUUCAAGAAUAUUAUACUAAAUGUAAUGUAUACGUUAUCAUUUGUCAUUGCAUUUUAAAAUGUUAAAAUAAAAGAGAUUUAAAAAAAAAAAAAAAAAUCAAAGGACAGACCCCUGCAGUAUUCUGCUGCUUUGGGUUUUACCAAACAGAGAACUUAUUGGGGCAGAUUCACUAAAGGGUGGCGUGGCUAACGCUAGGGACAUUUCGCAAGAAAUCCCAUCAUCAACAAUUUACUAACAGGCGUAGGUGACAAUUUGACUUUUCGCUGUAGCGAACGGGCGUAACUCUGCAAAUUCACUAAGAUGCAAAUGUUUCUGGAUGUUACCUCUUUCGUCAGAGUUUCCUUCAGACCAGACGAACUGCUUAAAUAAAGCUACAUCUUUCUCAAUCUU